RNAcentral lists this ribosomal RNA (413 nucleotides) under uncultured bacterium. RNAcentral's name for it is "partial 16S ribosomal RNA". It matches the Rfam family "Bacterial small subunit ribosomal RNA", at positions 355 to 762 of the family's 1533-position model. The record is from RNAcentral.
UGGGGAAUUUUGGACAAUGGGGGCAACCCUGAUCCAGCAAUGCCGCGUGUGUGAAGAAGGCCUUCGGGUUGUAAAGCACUUUUGUCCGGAAAGAAAACGUCGUGGUUAAUACCCGUGGCGGCUGACGGUACCGGAAGAAUAAGCACCGGCUAACUACGUGCCAGCAGCCGCGGUAAUACGUAGGGUGCAAGCGUUAAUCGGAAUUACUGGGCGUAAAGCGUGCGCAGGCGGUCCGCUAAGACAGAUGUGAAAUCCCCGGGCUUAACCUGGGAACUGCAUUUGUGACUGGCGGGCUAGAGUAUGGCAGAGGGGGGUAGAAUUCCACGUGUAGCAGUGAAAUGCGUAGAGAUGUGGAGAAUACCGAUGGCGAAGGCAGCCCCUGGGCCAAUACUGACGCUCAUGCACGAAAGCGU